Molecule: ribosomal RNA, 430 nt
Filed under: uncultured archaeon
Lineage: Archaea
Description: bacterial SSU rRNA
Rfam family: Archaeal small subunit ribosomal RNA
Source: RNAcentral
UACCAGCUCUCCGAGUUGUAGGGAUGAUUAUUGGGCUUAAAGCGUCCGUAGCUGGCUUAGCAAGUCUCCUGUUAAAUUCAGCGACCUAAUCGUUGAGCCGCGGGAGAUACUACUAGGCUAGGAGGCGGGAGAGGUCGACGGUACUUUCGGGGUAGGGGUGAAAUCCUAUAAUCCCGGGAGGACCACCAGUGGCGAAGGCUGUCGACUAGAACGCGCUCGACGGUGAGGGACGAAAGCUGGGGGGAGCGAACCGGAUUAGAUACCCGGGUAGUCCCAGCUGUAAACUAUGCGGGCUAGGUGUUGGGGUGGCUACGGGCCACUUCAGUGCCGCAGGAAAGCCAUUAAGCCCGCCGCCUGGGGAGUACGGCCGCAAGGCUGAAACUUAAAGGAAUUGGCGGGGGAGCACAACAAGGCGUGAAGCUUGCGGUUC